AACGCUGGCGGCGUGCCUAAUACAUGCAAGUCGAGCGAGCGGAACCAACAGAUUUACUUCGGUAAUGACGUUGGGAAAGCGAGCGGCGGAUGGGUGAGUAACACGUGGGGAACCUGCCCCUAAGUCUGGGAUACCAUUUGGAAACAGGUGCUAAUACCGGAUAAUAAAGCAGAUCGCAUGAUCAGCUUUUGAAAGGCGGCGUAAGCUGUCGCUAAGGGAUGGCCCCGCGGUGCAUUAGCUAGUUGGUAAGGUAACGGCUUACCAAGGCGACGAUGCAUAGCCGAGUUGAGAAACUGAUCGGCCACAUUGGGACUGAGACACGGCCCAAACUCCUACGGGAGGCAGCAGUGGGGAAUAUUGCACAAUGGGGGAAACCCUGAUGCAGCGACGCCGCGUGGAGGAAGAAGGUCUUCGGAUUGUAAACUCCUGUUGUUGGGGACGAUAAUGACGGUACCCGACAAGAAAGUGACGGCUAACUACGUG
Molecule: ribosomal RNA, 483 nt
Filed under: uncultured bacterium
Lineage: Bacteria
Description: bacterial SSU rRNA
Rfam family: Bacterial small subunit ribosomal RNA
Source: RNAcentral